UCCGGUGAUAUUGUCGGCAGGGUCACACCCGUUCCCAUCUCGAACACGGAAGUUAAGCCUGCUAGAGCCGAUGAUACUGCAUCUUUCAGGUGUGGGAAAGUAGGAAGUCGCCGGAU
Molecule: ribosomal RNA, 116 nt
Filed under: Acidobacteriota bacterium
Lineage: Bacteria; Pseudomonadati; Acidobacteriota
Source: RNAcentral